AUUGAACGCUGGCGGCAGGCCUAACACAUGCAAGUCGAACGAGUGGCGGACGGGUGAGUAAUGUCUGGGAAACUGCCUGAUGGAGGGGGCUAACUACUGGAAACUGUAGCUGAUACCGCAUACCAUCAGAUGUGCCCAGAUGGGCUUAGCUGGUUGGUGGGGUAACGGCUAACCAAGGCGACGAUCCCUAGCUGGUCUGAGAGGAUGACCAGCAACAAUGGAACUGAGGCACGGACCUGACUGCUACGGGAGGCAGCAGUGGGGAAUAGUGCACAAUGGGCGCCAGCCUGAUGCAGCCAUGCCGCGUGUAUGAAGAAGGGCUUCGGGUUGUAAAGUACUUUCAGCGGGGAGGCGUUACCCGCAGAAGAAGCACUGGCUAACUCCGUGCCAGCAGCCGCGGUAAUAC
This 406-nucleotide ribosomal RNA is filed under the name uncultured bacterium. Its description in RNAcentral is "partial 16S ribosomal RNA". It matches the Rfam family "Bacterial small subunit ribosomal RNA", at positions 30 to 526 of the family's 1533-position model. The record is from RNAcentral.